This 476-nucleotide ribosomal RNA is filed under the name uncultured bacterium. RNAcentral's name for it is "bacterial SSU rRNA". It matches the Rfam family "Archaeal small subunit ribosomal RNA", at positions 723 to 1199 of the family's 1478-position model. The record is from RNAcentral.
ACGGAAUAGAUACCCAGGUAGUCCCAGCCGUAAACGAUGCUCGCUAGGUGUCAGGCAUGGCGCGACCGUGUCUGGUGCCGCAGGGAAGCCGUGAAGCGAGCCACCUGGGAAGUACGGCCGCAAGGCUGAAACUUAAAGGAAUUGGCGGGGGAGCACAACAACGGGUGGAGCCUGCGGUUUAAUUGGACUCAACGCCGGACAACUCACCGGGGGCGACAGCAAUAUGUAGGCCAAGCUGAAGACUUUGCCUGAAUCGCUGAGAGGAGGUGCAUGGCCGUCGCCAGUUCGUACUGUGAAGCAUCCUGUUAAGUCAGGCAACGAGCGAGACCCGUGCCCACUGUUACCAGCAUGUCCUCCGGGACGAUGGGUACUCUGUGGGGACCGCCGAUGUUAAAUCGGAGGAAGGUGCGGGCCACGGUAGGUCAGUAUGCCCCGAAUCUCCCGGGCUACACGCGGGCUACAAUGGAUGGGACAAU